This 433-nucleotide ribosomal RNA is filed under the name uncultured bacterium. Its description in RNAcentral is "partial 16S ribosomal RNA". It matches the Rfam family "Bacterial small subunit ribosomal RNA", at positions 29 to 507 of the family's 1533-position model. The record is from RNAcentral.
AGCGAACGCUGGCGGCAGGCUUAACACAUGCAAGUCGAGCGGGCACUUCGGUGUCAGCGGCAGACGGGUGAGUAACACGUGGGAACGUACCCUUUGGUUCGGAAUAACGCUGGGAAACUAGCGCUAAUACCGGAUACGCCCUUUUGGGGAAAGGCUUGCUGCCGAAGGAUCGGCCCGCGUCGGAUUAGCUGGUUGGUGGGGUAAUGGCCUCCCAAGGCGACGAUCAGUAGCUGGUCUGAGAGGCUGAUCAGCCACACUGGGACUGAGACACGGCCCAGACUCCUCCGGGAGGCAGCAGAGGGGAAUAUUGGAAAAUGGGCGCAAGCCUGAUCCAGCCAUGCCGCGUGAGUGAUGAAGGCCUUAGGGUUGUAAAGCUCUUUUGUCCGGGACGAUAAUGACGGUACCGGAAGAAUAAGCCCCGGCUAACUUCGUG